This 492-nucleotide ribosomal RNA is filed under the name uncultured bacterium. Its description in RNAcentral is "partial 16S ribosomal RNA". It matches the Rfam family "Bacterial small subunit ribosomal RNA", at positions 29 to 507 of the family's 1533-position model. The record is from RNAcentral.
AGUGAACGCUGGCGGUAGGCCUAACACAUGCAAGUCGAACGGCAGCACAGUAAGAGCUUGCUCUUACGGGUGGCGAGUGGCGGACGGGUGAGGAAUACAUCGGAAUCUACUUUUUCGUGGGGGAUAACGUAGGGAAACUUACACUAAUACCGCAUACGACCUACGGGUGAAAGCAGGGGAUCUUCGGACCUUGCGCGAUUGAAUGAGCCGAUGUCGGAUUAGCUAGUUGGCGGGGUAAAGGCCCACCAAGGCGACGAUCCGUAGCUGGUCUGAGAGGAUGAUCAGCCACACUGGAACUGAGACACGGUCCAGACUCCUACGGGAGGCAGCAGUGGGGAAUAUUGGACAAUGGGCGCAAGCCUGAUCCAGCCAUACCGCGUGGGUGAAGAAGGCCUUCGGGUUGUAAAGCCCUUUUGUUGGGAAAGAAAAGCAGCAGGUUAAUACCCCGUUGUUCUGACGGUACCCAAAGAAUAAGCACCGGCUAACUUCGUG